GCGCCGUUAGCUCAGCUGGAUAGAGCGUCUGGCUACGGACCAGAAGGUCGGGGAUUCGAAUUCUCCACGGCGUGCCA
This 77-nucleotide transfer RNA is filed under the name Oscillospiraceae bacterium. RNAcentral describes it as "tRNA-Arg". It matches the Rfam family "tRNA". Rfam says of the family: Transfer RNA (tRNA) molecules are approximately 80 nucleotides in length. Their secondary structure includes four short double-helical elements and three loops (D, anti-codon, and T loops). The record is from RNAcentral. Lineage: Bacteria; Bacillati; Bacillota; Clostridia; Eubacteriales; Oscillospiraceae.